GGGGGGGGGGUCUUAAGAGGAACUGGAGAGCGCUUGAGGCUGGGGCGCUGUUGCCUGGCUCCUGGCCUUCACUUCCCUGCACCUGCUGCUGCGGCCCUGGGACGCCCACGUGGGUGCGUGGGUACAGGCGGGGUGUGGGUGCUCGCCGCGGUCCUGCCCACAUUUUCCCCAUCACAGCGCUGAGAGAAGGUGGAGGUCUCCUGCCAAUACGUUGGGAUGAGGGAUAAUGAGAUGACCCCCAAAUCCAGAGGGGAUUCCUGAGAUCCGAACGCAACCUUCAAGACUCCAGCUACCAAGCUGUUGGUUCCUCGAUCUCCAGGAAGCUGCAACUCCUUAAUGGUGGGGUAAAGUGAGCAAGUGGAGCGGGUGUCCAUCCGUUUAAGGAAAGGCUGGCAGAUGUGGAAGGGAGGGAACGGAGAAAGACAGCGAGCUAGAGAGCUUGAGAGCGGGAGUCAAGGAGGGGGCGGAGGAAGGGAGAGAUAACGGUGAUGCUGCUGAUGCUGACGAUGAUGAGCGGGGGAGACUGUGCGCGCCCUUAGAGUGCCAACUCCACCUGAACCCGAGGCCUGGGAGGGGAGCUACAAGCUCAAGAAAAGGGAAAGGGGCAAGAGGAUGGAUGGAAAGCGGAUAAUAAAAUGGAGAUAUGAAAAAGCCCAAGAACAGAGGUCAGGAUACGAGAACUGGGUUCAUAUCUGAAUGAAGAUCAGAAAUGAAUAUGUUAAAAUUAUUUUAAUUUACAACGGGAAAGUACAACAGAGUUCUUUUGAGCCAAAGAAUACGAGAAGAUACUUUUGAGUAAUGUCUUUUAUUGAGUUCAAUUCUUCCUAAUCUCUGCUUCCCUCAGAAUUCUUGAUUGGCCUACCGUUAACCAAAGGUACUGAAUGCCAGCAGCUGAUUUAAACAGAACAAACAAUGGCACACAACUCAGGACUUGUAACUGCAUACAUAUGGAGAGAGGUGCUUGGAGAGAAAAUCUGCUCUUCUGCAAUAUUGAAUACAAAAUUAAAGUCUGUCACAGCAAGCAUAACUUGGAGAAAAGAAAUGCAAGAUGAAAUAUAGCUUUUAAAAUCAUUACUAAAAUACAAUGUGUGCAUUUUGCUUAGACAAUAAAAAUGCAUCAUUGGUAUACCUUGAAUUCUGAUUUACUUUAAUAAGCUACUGAGAUAUCUUGAAAAUAGACAUUAUGUGAAACACUCAAACUUAUUCAGCUUUUGUAUUGUCAAUAAAGUUAUUUAAUAAUUAUUAUUUCUAUGUUCUAUAUUUUAGAACUACCUGAAAGCCUAAAAUUUAUCAAUUCCUCCUAAAAUUAUCAUUCUUAAUAAAAUUCAGCAUCAGUUUCACUAUGUGUGUGCUGUCAGUUAAUUUAUAUAAUGGCACAUAUUUAAUUGGAGAGAAAAUUUUCAGUUUCCUGAUUGCUCUGUGGAAUGUGAAUUUGUCAGUACCUUUCUCAAGCAAUCUUUUCCAAGAAGACUUAAGAGGAUAUCAGAGAAAGAGAAAUGGCAUGAAAUCAGGUUUGACUGUUCUUUGCUGUGGAAAACUUCAUUUGAUAAAGAACUAGGACACACACACACAUACAGGAUCUUGCAAAUUAUCAAUUAAAUAGAUUAUAUUAAAUAAGUGGAGUCAAGUACAGAUCAAAUUAUUUUUCCUAUCUUGAUUUAUCCUGAAAUAAACCAAAUGGAUUGCAAUAUGCUUCAAGAGAGGUCCGGGGCAGAGAGCUCAGGACAUAUUUGCUUUUUAGAAUAGUUUGUCAAGAAGCCAGUUUUCAAGGAAGAUUUCUUAUUUGAUUAUGUUUCCAUAACUUUUGAAAUUUUAUGAAUUUCUUAAUUGAUAGCCAUUUAAAAUUGA
This is a long non-coding RNA of Marmota monax (woodchuck), 1848 nucleotides long. RefSeq lists it as uncharacterized. The transcript is spliced from 3 exons. NCBI's taxonomy places the organism in Eukaryota, Metazoa, Chordata, Mammalia, Rodentia, Sciuridae. The record is from RefSeq and is a predicted model, not a curated record.